GUUGAAGUGCUUGGAUUUACACAGCAGGGAACUGAGGCUGAAGAGGAGAAUGCCUGGAACCUGAUCCAUUUAUGACACUCUUCAGUUUUCAGUCCUCUGCAUCUCCAGCUCCAGGAGAGAGAAAUAAAGUGUAUUUACUGAGAUUCUCGAAGCUUAAGGGAAAAAGAUUAAAGAUAAGAGUUGGUAUACAGCUUUCAAUCAUUAAAGCAAAUAAAAGCAGAGC
Corapipo altera (White-ruffed manakin) is the source of this 223-nucleotide long non-coding RNA. RefSeq lists it as uncharacterized. NCBI's taxonomy places the organism in Eukaryota, Metazoa, Chordata, Aves, Passeriformes, Pipridae. The transcript has 3 exons. The record is from RefSeq and is a predicted model, not a curated record.